GGUGCUAAUACCGGAUAAGAAAGCGGAUCGCAUGAUCAGCUUUUAAAAGGCGGCGUAAGCUGUCGCUAUGGGAUGGCCCCGCGGUGCAUUAGCUAGUUGGUAAGGUAAAGGCUUACCAAGGCGAUGAUGCAUAGCCGAGUUGAGAGACUGAUCGGCCACAUUGGGACUGAGACACGGCCCAAACUCCUACGGGAGGCAGCAGCA
This 204-nucleotide ribosomal RNA is filed under the name uncultured Lactobacillus sp. RNAcentral's name for it is "partial 16S ribosomal RNA". It matches the Rfam family "Bacterial small subunit ribosomal RNA", at positions 159 to 355 of the family's 1533-position model. Lineage: Bacteria; Bacillati; Bacillota; Bacilli; Lactobacillales; Lactobacillaceae. The record is from RNAcentral.